This 252-nucleotide ribosomal RNA is filed under the name uncultured bacterium. RNAcentral describes it as "partial 16S ribosomal RNA". It matches the Rfam family "Bacterial small subunit ribosomal RNA", at positions 525 to 776 of the family's 1533-position model. The record is from RNAcentral.
ACGGAGGGGGCAAGCGUUAUUCGGAAUUAUUGGGCGUAAAGGGCGUGUAGGCGGCUUGAUAAGCCAAAGGUGAAAUCCCUCAGCUCAACUGAGGAACUGCCUUUGGAACUGUCUCGCUAGAGGCCAGGAGAGGGUAGCGGAAUUCCCAGUGUAGCGGUGAAAUGCGUAGAUAUUGGGAGGAACACCAGUGGCGAAGGCGGCUACCUGGACUGGUACUGACGCUGAGGCGCGAAAGCGUGGGGAGCAAACAGG